GGCCUUGAGGUGUUUUACAUAUUAGACUGCAAAUCUAAAGUAGCGGGUGUAAAGCCCGUCGAGGCCU
RNAcentral lists this transfer RNA (67 nucleotides) under Parupeneus chrysopleuron (yellow-striped goatfish). RNAcentral's name for it is "tRNA-Cys". It matches the Rfam family "tRNA". Rfam says of the family: Transfer RNA (tRNA) molecules are approximately 80 nucleotides in length. Their secondary structure includes four short double-helical elements and three loops (D, anti-codon, and T loops). The record is from RNAcentral. Lineage: Eukaryota; Metazoa; Chordata; Actinopteri; Syngnathiformes; Mullidae.